GUAGGUGGCAAGCGUUGUCCGGAAUUAUUGGGCGUAAAGCGCGCGCAGGGCGGUCCUUUAAGUCUGAUGUGAAAGCCCACGGCUCAACCGUGGAGGGUCAUUGGAAACUGGGGGACUUGAGUACAGAAGAGGAAAGCGGAAUUCCAAGUGUAGCGGUGAAAUGCGUAGAGAUUUGGAGGAACACCAGUGGUGAAGGCGGCUUUCUGGUCUGUAACUGACGCUGAGGCGCGAAAGCGUGGGGAGCAAACAGGAUUAGAUACCCUGGUAGUCCACGCCGUAAACGAUGAGUGCUAAGUGUUAGGGGGUUUCCGCCCCUUAGUGCUGCAGCUAACGCAUUAAGCACUCCGCCUGGGGAGUACGGCCGCAAGGCUG
Molecule: ribosomal RNA, 372 nt
Filed under: uncultured organism
Description: partial 16S ribosomal RNA
Rfam family: Bacterial small subunit ribosomal RNA
Source: RNAcentral